UGUAUAUAUAUAUAUAUAUAUAUAGUGUGUGUGUGUGUGUGUGUGCGUGUGUGUGUGUGUGUGUGUGUGUGUCAACAUGUCUCUUUCAAUCUCUCACUCUUGUCAAUCUCUCUCACAAACGCACACACAUGCACACACAUACAUGGCCAUAUG
Molecule: long non-coding RNA, 153 nt
Organism: Herpailurus yagouaroundi (jaguarundi)
Lineage: Eukaryota; Metazoa; Chordata; Mammalia; Carnivora; Felidae
Exons: 2
Source: RefSeq, a predicted model, not a curated record